Molecule: long non-coding RNA, 86 nt
Organism: Cervus elaphus (red deer)
Lineage: Eukaryota; Metazoa; Chordata; Mammalia; Artiodactyla; Cervidae
Exons: 4
Source: RefSeq, a predicted model, not a curated record
UGGAGGGAGUUGCAGGUGGUCCAGUGGUUAGGACUACGUGCUUUCACCGCCAAGGGUGUCGGUACAAUCCCUGGUCAGGGAACUAA